UCUACCCUUUGGCCUGGAAUAACACGAGGAAACUUGUGCUAAUACCGGAUAAGUCUUUACGGAGAAAGCUUUAUGCACCAUUGGAUGAGCCCGCACUUGAUUAGUUUGUUGGUAGGGUAAUGGCCUACCAAGACUAUGAUCAAUAGCUGAUUUGAGAGGAUGAUCAGCCACAUUGGGACUGAGACACGGCCCAAACUCCUACGGGAGGCAGCAGUGGGGAAUCUUGCACAAUGGAGGAAACUCUGAUGCAGCGAUGCCGCGUGAGUGAAGAAGGCCUUUGGGUUGUAAAGCUCUUUCGUCGGGGAAGAAAAUGACUGUACCCGAAUAAGAAGGUCCGGCU
RNAcentral lists this ribosomal RNA (340 nucleotides) under uncultured bacterium. Its description in RNAcentral is "bacterial SSU rRNA". It matches the Rfam family "Bacterial small subunit ribosomal RNA", at positions 125 to 498 of the family's 1533-position model. The record is from RNAcentral.